GAAGCCCACCAGACCACCGCUGGUGCAAUCUGGGAAACCAGGCACUGGAGGAACGUCCGGACUGCAUAGGGUGGCGUAGCAGCUAACGGCUGUCCACUGACCAGCCUGCCACGCAAGUGGCGGGCCCUAAGGUGAGGAUUAGAGCAACAGAGACGAGUCGGUGUAGACAAACCUUGCGGGUGUUCUAUGCGUGCAGCGCGGCGCAAGCCGCGCCCCGGGUAACCGGGUGCGCAUAGCCACCCGAUGGGCGAAGCCACAUCGGGUGAAACGGGCAAUCUCUACGCGCAGCAAUACCAAGUAGGCACACGCAAAGCGAGGCGGUUCGCCGCAGCGCCAUGACCGGGACCCCCGGAGUGUGCGGGUAGGUAGCACCGAGCCGUUUGGGUGACCAGCGGCCCAGAGUAAUGGUGGUCACGCGCAGGGCAACUUGCGUGCACAGAAUCCGGCUUAUCGGUGGGCUUCACAC
This 466-nucleotide RNase P RNA is filed under the name Candidatus Aalborgicola lynettensis. RNAcentral's name for it is "RNase P RNA component class A". It matches the Rfam family "Bacterial RNase P class A". From Rfam's summary of the family: Ribonuclease P (RNase P) is a ubiquitous endoribonuclease, found in archaea, bacteria and eukarya as well as chloroplasts and mitochondria. Lineage: Bacteria; Pseudomonadati; Pseudomonadota; Betaproteobacteria; Burkholderiales; Comamonadaceae. The record is from RNAcentral.